GACGAACGCUGGCGGCGUGCUUAACACAUGCAAGUCGAACGGAAAGGCCCUGCUUUUGUGGGGUGCUCGAGUGGCGAACGGGUGAGUAACACGUGAGUAACCUGCCCUUGACUUUGGGAUAACUUCAGGAAACUGGGGCUAAUACCGGGUAGGAGCUCCUGCUGCAUGGUGGGGGUUGGAAAGUUUCGGCGGUUGGGGAUGGACUCGCGGCUUACCAGCUUGUUGGUGGGGUAGUGGCUUACCAAGGCUUUGACGGGUAGCCGGCCUGAGAGGGUGACCGGCCACAUUGGGACUGAGAUACGGCCCAGACUCCUACGGGAGGCAGCAGUGGGGAAUAUUGCACAAUGGGCGGAAGCCUGAUGCAGCAACGCCGCGUGCGGGAUGACGGCCUUCGGGUUGUAAACCGCUUUCGCCUGUGACGAAGCGUGAGUGACGGUAAUGGGUAAAGAAACACCGGCUAACUACGU
Molecule: ribosomal RNA, 467 nt
Filed under: uncultured bacterium
Lineage: Bacteria
Description: partial 16S ribosomal RNA
Rfam family: Bacterial small subunit ribosomal RNA
Source: RNAcentral